GCUGGGCGUGGUGGUGCAUGCCUGUAGUCCCAGCUACUUGGGAGGCUGAGGCAGGAGAAUCACUUGAACCCGGGAGGCAGGGGUUGCAGUGAGCUGAGAUCAUGCCACUGCACUUCCAGCCUGGGCUACAGAGCGAGACUCUGUCUCAA
RNAcentral lists this small RNA (149 nucleotides) under Pongo abelii (Sumatran orangutan). Its description in RNAcentral is "Metazoan signal recognition particle RNA (ENSPPYG00000038914.1)". Lineage: Eukaryota; Metazoa; Chordata; Mammalia; Primates; Hominidae. The record is from Rfam by way of RNAcentral.